CCUACGGGUGGCUGCAGUGAGGAAUAUUGGUCAAUGGGCGGGAGCCUGAACCAGCCAUGCCGCGUGAAGGCGAGUGCCCUACGGGCGUUAAACUUCUUUUGUGCGGGAGCAAUAAGGGCCACGCGUGGCCCGAUGAGAGUACCGCACGAAUAAGCAUCGGCUAACUCCGUGCCAGCAGCCGCGGUAAUACGGGGGAUGCGAGCGUUAUCCGGAUUUAUUGGGUUUAAAGGUUGCGUAGGCGGCGCUUCAUGUUUGCGGUGAAAUACCGGGUCGCAACCCCGGGGCUGCCGGUGAAACCGGCGCGCUAGAAUUCCGAUGCGGUAGGAGGAAUGCGUGGGGUAGCGGUGAAAUGCAUAGAUA
RNAcentral lists this ribosomal RNA (360 nucleotides) under uncultured bacterium. Its description in RNAcentral is "partial 16S ribosomal RNA". It matches the Rfam family "Bacterial small subunit ribosomal RNA", at positions 338 to 696 of the family's 1533-position model. The record is from RNAcentral.